GAUGAACGCUGGCUACAGGCUUAACACAUGCAAGUCGAGGGGAAACGACGGGGAAGCUUGCUUCCCCGGGCGUCGACCGGCGCACGGGUGAGUAACGCGUAUCCAACCUGCCUCUGACUGAGGGAUAACCCGUCGAAAGUCGGCCUAAUACCUCAUGGCAUCGUCUGCGGGCAUCCAACGACGAUUAAAGAUUUCAUCGGUCAGAGAUGGGGAUGCGUCUGAUUAGCUUGUUGGCGGGGUAACGGCCCACCAAGGCGACGAUCAGUAGGGGUUCUGAGAGGAAGGUCCCCCACAUUGGAACUGAGACACGGUCCAAACUCCUACGGGAGGCAGCAGUGAGGAAUAUUGGUCAAGGGGCGAGAGCCUGAACCAGCCAAGUAGCGUGCAGGAUGACGGCCCUAUGGGUUGUAAACUGCUUUUAUGCGGGGAUAAAGUGAGGGACGUGUCCUUCAUUGCAGGUACCGCAUGAAUAAGGACCGGCUAAUUCCGUG
RNAcentral lists this ribosomal RNA (491 nucleotides) under uncultured bacterium. RNAcentral describes it as "partial 16S ribosomal RNA". It matches the Rfam family "Bacterial small subunit ribosomal RNA", at positions 28 to 507 of the family's 1533-position model. The record is from RNAcentral.